RNAcentral lists this ribosomal RNA (449 nucleotides) under uncultured bacterium. Its description in RNAcentral is "partial 16S ribosomal RNA". It matches the Rfam family "Bacterial small subunit ribosomal RNA", at positions 29 to 523 of the family's 1533-position model. The record is from RNAcentral.
AGCGAACGCUGGCGGCAGGCCUAACACAUGCAAGUCGAACGAAGUCUUCGGACUUAGUGGCGGACGGGUGAGUAACACGUGGGAACGUGCCUUUAGGUUCGGAAUAACUCAGGGAAACUUGUGCUAAUACCGAAUGUGCCCUUAGGGGGAAGGAUUUAUCGCCUUUAGAGCGGCCCGCGACUGAUUAGCUAGUUGUUGAGGUAAAGGCUCACCAAGGCGACGAUCAGUAGCUGGUCUGAGAGGAUGAUCAGCCACAUUGGGACUGAGACGCGGCCCAAACUCCUACGGGAGGCAGCAGUGGGGAAUCUUGCGCAAUGGGCGAAAGCCUGACGCAGCCAUGCCGCGUGAAUGAUGAAGGUCUUAGGAUUGUAAAAUUCUUUCACCGGGGACGAUAAUGACGGUACCCGGAGAAGAAGCCCCGGCUAACUUCGUGCCAGCAGCCGCAGUAA